Molecule: unclassified non-coding RNA, 364 nt
Filed under: uncultured Chloroflexota bacterium
Lineage: Bacteria; Bacillati; Chloroflexota
Description: uncultured Chloroflexi bacterium contains 16S-23S intergenic spacer region
Source: RNAcentral
UCCGGCGUUAGCCGGCAGUCUCGCUAGAAAAGUAUAACUAGCGACAGGGGUUGCGCUCGUUGCGAGACUUAACCCAACACCUCACGGCACGAGCUGACGACGGCCGUGCAACACCUGUGCACGCUCCCCGAGGGGUCCCUCACCUUUCGGAUCGGUACCACGUGCAUGUCAAGCCUGGGUAAGGUUCUUCGCGUAUCAUCGAAUUAAACCACACGCUCCGCUGCUUGUGCGGGCCCCCGUCAAUUCCUUUGAGUUUUAGCCUUGCGGCCGUAGUCCCCAGGCGGAGUACUUAUUGCGUUAGCUUCGGCACAGAGGGGGUCGAUACCCCCUACACCUAGUACUCAUCGUUUAGGGCGUGGACUAC